GACGAACGCUGGCGGCGUGCUUAACACAUGCAAGUCGAACGGAAAGGCCCUGCUUGCAGGGUACUCGAGUGGCGAACGGGUGAGUAAGACGUGGGUGAUCUGCCCUGCACUUCGGGAUAAGCCUGGGAAACUGGGUCUAAUACCGGAUAGGAGCCAUUUUUAGUGUGAUGGUUGGAAAGUUUUUUCGGUGUAGGAUGAGCUCGCGGCCUAUCAGCUUGUUGGUGGGGUAAUGGCCUACCAAGGCGGCGACGGGUAGCCGGCCUGAGAGGGUGGACGGCCACAUUGGGACUGAGAUACGGCCCAGACUCCUACGGGAGGCAGCAGUGGGGAAUAUUGCACAAUGGGCGCAAGCCUGAUGCAGCGACACCGCGUGGGGGAUGACGGCCUUCGGGUUGUAAACUCCUUUCGCUAGGGACGAAGCUUUUUGUGACGGUACCUAGAUAAGAAGCACCGGCUAACUACGUG
Molecule: ribosomal RNA, 465 nt
Filed under: uncultured bacterium
Lineage: Bacteria
Description: partial 16S ribosomal RNA
Rfam family: Bacterial small subunit ribosomal RNA
Source: RNAcentral